Molecule: ribosomal RNA, 492 nt
Filed under: uncultured bacterium
Lineage: Bacteria
Description: partial 16S ribosomal RNA
Rfam family: Bacterial small subunit ribosomal RNA
Source: RNAcentral
AGUGAACGCUGGCGGUAGGCCUAACACAUGCAAGUCGAACGGCAGCACAGUAAGAGCUUGCUCUUACGGGUGGCGAGUGGCGGACGGGUGAGGAAUACAUCGGAAUCUACUUUUUCGUGGGGGAUAACGUAGGGAAACUUACGCUAAUACCGCAUACGACCUACGGGUGAAAGCAGGGGAUCUUCGGACCUUGCGCGAUUGAAUGAGCCGAUGUCGGAUUAGCUAGUUGGCGGGGUAAAGGCCCACCAAGGCGACGAUCCGUAGCUGGUCUGAGAGGAUGAGCAUCCACACUGGAACUGAGAGACGGUCCAGACUCCGACGUGAGGCAACAGGGGGGAAGAGUGGACAAGGGGCGCAGGUCUUAUCCAGCCAUACCGCGUGGGUGAAAAAAGCCUGCGGGUUUGAAAGCCCGUUGGUUGAGAAAAAAAAGCAACAGGCGAAUACCCCGCUGGUCGCACGUUACGCAAAGAAUAAGCACGGGCUAGCCUGGAG